This 193-nucleotide unclassified non-coding RNA is filed under the name soil metagenome. Its description in RNAcentral is "partial contains 5.8S ribosomal RNA, internal transcribed spacer 2, and large subunit ribosomal RNA". The record is from RNAcentral.
AACGCACGAGACCUGCGGACCUGCGGAAGGAUCAUUACCGAGUUAUCCAACUCCCAACCCCUGUGAAUCAUACCUUUAAUUGUUGCUUCGGCGGGACUUCGCGCCCGCCGGGGACCCAAACCUUCUGAAUUUUUUAAUAAGUAUCUUCUGAGUGGUUAAAAAAAUGAAUCAAAACUUUUAACAAUGGAUCUCU